GCCCCUGUAGCUCAGGCGGAUAGAGCAGCGGUUUCCUAAACCGCGUGUCGAGCGUUCGAGUCGCUCCAGGGGUACCA
RNAcentral lists this transfer RNA (77 nucleotides) under Chloroflexi bacterium RBG_16_57_8. RNAcentral's name for it is "tRNA-Arg". It matches the Rfam family "tRNA". From Rfam's summary of the family: Transfer RNA (tRNA) molecules are approximately 80 nucleotides in length. Their secondary structure includes four short double-helical elements and three loops (D, anti-codon, and T loops). The record is from RNAcentral. Lineage: Bacteria; Bacillati; Chloroflexota.